CAGUGCUGGCCGGUGCUGACAGAGUAACUUCAGCUGGGAUCUGUGGUACUGCUGUGUCCCUGGCUGCUGAGAGCAGGGAAGGAGGGCUCCAUCUACUGCUGUGCGGGGAGAAGGCAAAAAUAACCGGGAUGGCAUUCCUCUGCUGCACAGAAAAGCUACUGGGUACAUGAACUCCAGCUGGCAACCUGCCCUGCAAUUUCCAGGGACAGCAAACCUGUGAGACAGAUGCACUCACUGUGUGACUGAGGAUGCUCUCCAGCCCUGCUGAGCCAGCCCUGGGAGCGGGGCUGUGUGUGGGGUCUGCUGUUUUCUAGUUGGAGUGAUUUUUAUAGCCUGUAUUAUAAGGAAACCCACACGUGAGGAAAGGAAGAAGGAAUUAAAUGGAAAACAAACCACAGGCCCAGCCAUUAAUCCUUCUGGGGAAAGCAGGGCCUGGGCUGCAUUCUUCAGCAUCCAACCCACUGUGGGACACACGAGGUGAAAGUCGUCAACAGUCUGAGCUGAGUCUCUGGUCAGCCAUCGUUCUGGGGGAUCUGCUGCUGCUCUCCCACUGGAGCCUGUUCCUUUGUGCUCUUUCCAUGAGGAGCAGCCAAAAUCAUGAAUUAAACAUUGCUGAUAUUAAAGAGGACUCCUGGCAUCUGCCCCAAAUGGAGAAAUCAACGUGUCAUUCAUUACAGAUAUCCACACUUAUACAGGGAACACGUGUUUGCCAGAUGGUGCCAGUUCAGGAUUCCCAGAGGGAGCAGGAGUGGUCCAUCCCUGCUGAAUGCCAGAGCCACCCCAGUCCCGGGGUCCCCCAAGGGUCUUCACUCCUCUCCCUGCAGCCUGGCAGAGAUGCCCCUGGGCCUCUCCCAGCUGAGGCUGUGUUGUGA
Molecule: long non-coding RNA, 872 nt
Filed under: Manacus vitellinus (golden-collared manakin)
Lineage: Eukaryota; Metazoa; Chordata; Aves; Passeriformes; Pipridae
Description: lncRNA (ENSMVIG00005016491.1)
Source: RNAcentral